RNAcentral lists this ribosomal RNA (484 nucleotides) under Blastocystis sp. RNAcentral describes it as "SSU rRNA". It matches the Rfam family "Eukaryotic small subunit ribosomal RNA", at positions 458 to 953 of the family's 1831-position model. The record is from RNAcentral. Lineage: Eukaryota; Bigyra; Opalinata; Blastocystidae.
AUGGAGGUAGUGACAAUAAAUCACAAUGCGGAACAAUGUUUUGCAAUUGGAUUGAGAACAACGUACAAACCUUAUCGAUAAACAAUUGGAGGGCAAGUCUGGUGCCAGCAGCCGCGGUAAUUCCAGCUCCAAUAGCGUAUAUUAACGUUGUUGCAGUUAAAAAGCUCGUAGUUGAAAUGAAGGGUAGUUGUGUAAUGAAUACAUUCGUGUAUUUUGUUAUUCUACUACCCUCCUUCUAAAUUCGAUAUAUGAGUAUUAAUUUACUUGUAUAUGGUUUUAGACGUUUACUGUGAGAAAAUUAGAGUGUUCAAAGCAGGCAUUUGCUUGAAUAUAUUAGCAUGGAAUAAUCAUGUAUGAUUUUCAUGAUGUAUUUGAUUGGUUUGGUUCAUGAGAAUAAGAUUAAAAGGGACAGUUGGGGGUAUUCAUAUUCAAUAGUCAGAGGUGAAAUUCUCGGAUUUAUGGAAGAUGAACAAGGGCGAAAGCA